AUCCGAAUCAACGGAACAGCCUGCUCGUGAAAUUAACGUGUAAGUGGCUGAGCACUCCACAGACACACAAGCAUUCUCUUAAUGUAGUUCACAGGGAGAUUGAGUGUGACACAGAG
Octopus sinensis (East Asian common octopus) is the source of this 116-nucleotide long non-coding RNA. RefSeq lists it as uncharacterized. Lineage: Eukaryota; Metazoa; Mollusca; Cephalopoda; Octopoda; Octopodidae. The record is from RefSeq and is a predicted model, not a curated record. The transcript has 2 exons.